This 425-nucleotide ribosomal RNA is filed under the name uncultured bacterium. RNAcentral describes it as "bacterial SSU rRNA". It matches the Rfam family "Bacterial small subunit ribosomal RNA", at positions 354 to 796 of the family's 1533-position model. The record is from RNAcentral.
GUGGGGAAUUUUGCGCAAUGGGGGAAACCCUGACGCAGCGACGCCGCGUGAAGGACGAAGGCCUUCGGGUUGUAAACUUCUUUUAUAAGGGAAGAUAGUGACGGUACCUUAUGAAUAAGCCACGGCUAACUCUGUGCCAGCAGCCGCGGUAAGACAGAGGUGGCAAGCGUUGUUCGGAUUUACUGGGCUUAAAGGGCGCGUAGGCGGUGGUGUAAGUCUGAUGUGGAAGCCCACGGCUCAACCGUGGAAUUGCAUCGGAAACUGCAUCACUUGAGUCAGCGAGGGGAGGGCGGAAUUCCUGGUGUAGCAGUGAAAUGCGUAGAUAUCAGGAGGAAGGCCGGCGGCGAAGGCGGCCCUCUGGCGCUUGACUGACGCUGAGGCGCGAAAGCGUGGGGAGCAAACAGGAUUAGAUACCCGGGUAGUCC